GGGAAGUUCCUGGCUCAGAACGAACGCUGGCGGCAGGCCUAACCCCAGCAAGUCGAGCGCGCCCUUCGGGGUGAGCGGCGGACGGGUUAGUAACGCGUGGGAAUAUACCCGACACUAAGGAAUAGCCUCUGGAAACGGAGAGUAAUACCUUAUACGCCCUUCGGGGGAAAGAUUUAUCGGUGACGGAUUAGCCCGCGUUAGAUUAGGUAGUUGGUGGGGUAAUGGCCUACCAAGCCUACGAUCUAUAGCUGGUUUUAGAGGAUGAUCAGCAACACUGGGACUGAGACACGGCCCAUACUCCUACGGGAGGCAGCAGUGGGGAAUCUUGGACAAUGGGGGCAACCCUGAUCCAGCCAUGCCGCGUGAGUGAUGAAGGCCUUAGGGUCGUAAAGCUCUUUCGCCUGUGAUGAUAAUGACAGUAGCAGGUAAAGAAACCCCGGCUAACUCCGUGCCAGCAGCCGCGGUAAUACGGAGGGGGUUAGCGUUGUUCGGAAUUACUGGGCGUAAAGCGCGCGUAGGCGGACUAUUAAGUCGAGGGUGAAAUCCCGGGGCUCAACCCCGGAACUGCCUUUAAUACUGCUAGUCUUGAGUUCGAGAGAGGUGAGUGGAAUUCCGAGUGUAGAGGUGAAAUUCGUAGAUAUUCGGAGGAACACCAGUGGCGAAGGCAGCUCACUGGCUCGAUACUGACGCUGAGGCGCGAAAGUGUGGGGAGCAAACAGGAUUAGAUACCCUGGUAGUCCACACCGUAAACGAUGAAUGCCAGUCGUCAGGUAGCAUGCUAUUCGGUGACACACCUAACGGAUUAAGCAUUCCGCCUGGGGAGUACGGUCGCAAGAUUAAAACUCAGAGGAAUUGACGGGGGCCCGCACAAGCGGUGGAGCAUGUGGUUUAAUUCGAAGCACGCGCAGAACCUUACCAACCCUUGACAUCCUGUGCUCAUCCAGAGAUGGAUGGUUCCCUUCGGGGACCAUUGACAGGUGCUGCAUGGCUGUCGUCGCUCGAGUCGAGAGAUGUCCGUUAAAUCCGCAACAAGCGCAACCAGAUCCUUAUUACCAGGGUUCGGCCGGGAAUCUAGGGAACUGCCCGGAAAACCGGGGGAAAGUUGGAUAAAGCAAGUCUCAAGGCCUU
This 1128-nucleotide ribosomal RNA is filed under the name uncultured bacterium. Its description in RNAcentral is "bacterial SSU rRNA". It matches the Rfam family "Bacterial small subunit ribosomal RNA", at positions 9 to 1202 of the family's 1533-position model. The record is from RNAcentral.